Molecule: transfer RNA, 68 nt
Filed under: Sus scrofa (pig)
Lineage: Eukaryota; Metazoa; Chordata; Mammalia; Artiodactyla; Suidae
Description: tRNA-Trp
Source: RNAcentral
AGAAAUUUAGGUUAACACAGACCAAGAGCCUUCAAAGCUCUAAGUAAGUACAAAGUACUUAACUCCUG